AUUGAACGCUGGCGGCAUGCCUUACACAUGCAAGUCGAACGGUAACGUGCCUUCGGGUGCCGACGAGUGGCGAACGGGUGCGUAAUACAUCGGAACGUGCCCGAUCGUGGGGGAUAACGAGGCGAAAGCUUUGCUAAUACCUCAUACGAUCUACGGAUGAAAGCCGGGGACUGCAAGGCCUUGCGCGGACGGAGCGGCCGAUGGCAGAUUAGGUAGUUGGUGGGAUAAAAGCUUACCAAGCCGACGAUCUGUAGCUGGUCUGAGAGGAUGAUCAGCCACACUGGAACUGAGACACGGCCCAGACUCCUACGGGAGGCAGCAGUGGGGAAUUUUGGACAAUGGGCGCAAGCCUGAUCCAGCCAUGCCGCGUGCAGGAUGAAGGCCUUCGGGUUGUAAACUGCUUUUGUACGGAACGAAAAGCCGUCUUUUAAUACAGGAGGGUCAUGACGGUACCGUAAGAAUAAGCACCGGCUAACUACGUG
RNAcentral lists this ribosomal RNA (482 nucleotides) under uncultured bacterium. Its description in RNAcentral is "partial 16S ribosomal RNA". It matches the Rfam family "Bacterial small subunit ribosomal RNA", at positions 30 to 507 of the family's 1533-position model. The record is from RNAcentral.